Molecule: ribosomal RNA, 400 nt
Filed under: uncultured bacterium
Lineage: Bacteria
Description: bacterial SSU rRNA
Rfam family: Bacterial small subunit ribosomal RNA
Source: RNAcentral
UGGGGAAUAUUGCACAAUGGGGGAAACCCUGAUGCAGCGACGCCGCGUGGGUGAAGAAGUAUUUCGGUAUGUAAAGCCCUAUCAGCAGGGAAGAAAAUGACGGUACCUGACUAAGAAGCCCCGGCUAACUACGUGCCAGCAGCCGCGGUAAUACGUAGGGGGCAAGCGUUAUCCGGAUUUACUGGGUGUAAAGGGAGCGUAGGUGGCGUGCCAAGUCAGGAGUGAAAACCCAGGGCCCAACCCUGGGACUGCUCUUGAAACUGGCAGGCUUGAGUGCUGGAGAGGUAAGCGGAAUUCCUAGUGUAGCGGUGAAAUGCGUAGAUAUUAGGAGGAACACCAGUGGCGAAGGCGGCUUACUGGACAGUGACUGACACUGAGGCUCGAAAGCGUGGGGAGCAAA